AAGACACUGUGUAUACUGGGCACUGAGGAGAAUUCACGGGUUCCCAUAUGUGGGGAAGGCUUUCUGGGAGGUGACCCAUUGCCUGCAUGGCACAGCUCCAGAAACAGUUGAAAGAUUUGAUCCCAUUUAACUGCGAGUUCCAUUCAUUCCACCUGGUCAAGGGGAGGACUUAUGAGAGUUGGGAGCUUGGAAGGCAACCUGAUAUAGAGCUGGGGUUGACAAACUAUGACCCGAGGGCAAAUCCAGUCAACUGUGUUUGUACAGCUCAUGAGUGAAAGCUGCACAGGAAGUUCCUGCAGACAAUGCACGCGGCCCAGGAAGGCUCGGCAGUGUGAUUCUCAGACCUGAGAGAGUACGGCCCCUCUUCAUCUAUGAUCAUGCAGCUUGUAUUCUGAAGACCCAGGAAAGCCAGUGGUGUUGUUCCAGGCCAAGCCUGAAGGCCUGAAAAGCAGAGGAACCAAUGGCGUAACUCCCAGCCUGAGUAUGAAGGCCUGAGAACCAGGAUCACCAAUGACGAAGAACAGAAGAUGGAUGUCCCAGCUUGAGAAGAAAGAUCAAGUUCAUUCUUUCUCUGUCUUUUUGCUCUACCCAGGCCCUCAAUGGAUUGGAUGAAGUCCACCCACAUUUGUGAGGGCUAAUCUUCGUUACUCUGUCUACCAAUUCAUUGUUUUCUUCAUUACUCAUCAAUAAUGUCUUACCAGCUGUUUGGGCUUCCCUUAGCCAGCCCAGUCAAAUUGAUACAUAAAAUCAGCCAUCACACCACCUCUUUUUUUUUUUUUGAGACGGAGUGUCACUCUGUCACCAG
This 805-nucleotide long non-coding RNA is filed under the name Homo sapiens (human). Its description in RNAcentral is "HSALNT0008087". Lineage: Eukaryota; Metazoa; Chordata; Mammalia; Primates; Hominidae. The record is from RNAcentral.